CAACCUGCCGAUAACUCGGGGAUAGCCUUUCGAAAGAAAGAUUAAUAUCCGAUGGUAUAUUUUCUCCGCAUGGUGAGAAUAUUAAAGAAUUUCGGUUAUCGAUGGGGAUGCGUUCCAUUAGUUUGUUGGCGGGGUAACGGCCCACCAAGACCACGAUGGAUAGGGGUUCUGAGAGGAAGGUCCCCCACAUUGGAACUGAGACACGGUCCAAACUCCUACGGGAGGCAGCAGUGAGGAAUAUUGGUCAAUGGACGAGAGUCUGAACCAGCCAAGUAGCGUGAAGGAUGACUGCCCUAUGGGUUGUAAACUUCUUUUAUAUGGGAAUAAAGUGUUCCACGUGUGGGAUUUUGUAUGUACCAUAUGAAUAAGGAUCGGCUAACUCCGUGCCAGCAGCCGCGGUAAUACGGAGGAUCCGAGCGUUAUCCGGAUUUAUUGGGUUUAAAGGGAGCGUAGGUGGAUUGUUAAGUCAGUUGUGAAAGUUUGCGGCUCAACCGUAAAAUUGCAGUUGAAACUGGCAGUCUUGAGUACAGUAGAGGUGGGCGGAAUUCGUGGUGUAGCGGUGAAAUGCUUAGAUAUCACGAAGAACUCCGAUUG
RNAcentral lists this ribosomal RNA (594 nucleotides) under uncultured Bacteroidota bacterium. Its description in RNAcentral is "bacterial SSU rRNA". It matches the Rfam family "Bacterial small subunit ribosomal RNA", at positions 122 to 715 of the family's 1533-position model. The record is from RNAcentral. Lineage: Bacteria; Pseudomonadati; Bacteroidota.